This 481-nucleotide unclassified non-coding RNA is filed under the name Hevea brasiliensis (rubber tree). Lineage: Eukaryota; Viridiplantae; Streptophyta; Magnoliopsida; Malpighiales; Euphorbiaceae. The record is from RNAcentral.
UUUCUCAUUUGUCCUUGCAAUAAAAAUGUCCCAGAAGACAGACCACCAUUCAAAAAGAAACCCUCCAGGAGCAUCAAUUGCUACUGGAUCUGGGGCUACUUUCCCUUCAUUCAUAAAGGACUUUGCAGUGGCAUGCAGUUUCUUCUUCACCAAAUAAUCGUAUAUGUACACAUCAAGCAUUUUAUCUGCUUCCCAGUUGCUCUGCGCCAUGUUUUCAGCUCAAAAACGCAAAUCAAAGCUGCUUAAAAACCUUUAACCUUGAUAAUUUAGAUGGAUCAAAAAGCCUGCAUUACCAAUCUUGGACUCCUGCAACAGCGAUCUCCAUUGAUCAAAGCGUUGUCUCCAUGCUUUGGCGAUUUGCAACGAGUAAAAUUGGGGCUUCACGAUUAUUGGGCUAGAAGGAAGUAUAUUAACACAGGAGCUAGGGGGGAGAAGAGUUAGAGCUGGAUCCGAAGCUGAGGUUUGAAAACCAGAGCUGAAG